This 689-nucleotide ribosomal RNA is filed under the name Siraitia grosvenorii (monk fruit). RNAcentral describes it as "eukaryotic LSU rRNA". The stretch from base 239 to 394 matches the Rfam family "5.8S ribosomal RNA". Lineage: Eukaryota; Viridiplantae; Streptophyta; Magnoliopsida; Cucurbitales; Cucurbitaceae. The record is from RNAcentral.
UUUCCGUAGGUGAACCUGCGGAAGGAUCAUUGUCGAUGCCCGAACGUCGGACGACCCGCGAACGUGUUCACCAACCGUACGCGCGGAGGGGAGCGCGGCGCGCCCUGCGUGCCCGCCCCCCGUCCGCGCUCCAACCAAACCCCGGCGCAGGUCGCGCCAAGGAACUCGAACGAAUCGCCUGCCCCCCGCCCCGGUCCCGGCGUGCUGGGGGGCGGAGCAUUCCUGUCGUAUUCACAACGACUCUCGGCAACGGAUAUCUCGGCUCUCGCAUCGAUGAAGAACGUAGCGAAAUGCGAUACUUGGUGUGAAUUGCAGGAUCCCGCGAACCACCGAGUCUUUGAACGCAAGUUGCGCCCGGAGCCAUCUGGCCGAGGGCACGUCUGCCUGGGCGUCACGCAUCGCUGCCCCCCUCCCGCAACCCCAUUCGGGUUCUGGGGCUGGGGCACACGCUGGCCUCCCGUGCGCACCGUCGCGCGGAUGGCUUAAAAUUGAGUCCUCGGCGCCUGUCGUCGCGACACUACGGUGGUUGAUCCAACCUCGGCACCGCGUCGCGACCUCAGACCGCGCGCCUCCUCCUAUCAUAGGGAGCGAGCGAGCGAGGCCUCCUAGACCGACCCUCCGAACGUCGCCUCCAGAGACGAUGCUCUCGACGCGACCCCAGGUCAGGCGGGACUACCCGCUGAGUUUAA